GAUGAACGCUAGCGGCAGGCCUAACACAUGCAAGUCGAGGGGCAGCGGGGGUAGCAAUACCUGCCGGCGACCGGCGCACGGGUGCGUAACGCGUAUGCAACCUACCCUCGUCAGGGGAAUAGCCCGCCGAAAGGCGGAUUAAUGCCCCAUGGACCGGAUUCCUGGCAUCGGGGAUCGGGUAAAGGUAACGGACGGGGAUGGGCAUGCGUGCCAUUAGCUGGUUGGGGGGGUAACGGCCCACCAAGGCGACGAUGGCUAGGGGAACUGAGAGGUUGGUCCCCCACACUGGUACUGAGACACGGACCAGACUCCUACGGGAGGCAGCAGUGAGGAAUAUUGGUCAAUGGGCGCAAGCCUGAACCAGCCAUGCCGCGUGCAGGAAGACGGCCCUACGGGUUGUAAACUGCUUUUCUGCGGGAAGAAUGGCCGCCACGCGUGGUGGUUUGACGGUACCGCAGGAAUAAGGAUCGGCUAACUCCGUG
This 482-nucleotide ribosomal RNA is filed under the name uncultured bacterium. Its description in RNAcentral is "bacterial SSU rRNA". It matches the Rfam family "Bacterial small subunit ribosomal RNA", at positions 28 to 507 of the family's 1533-position model. RNAcentral also lists the same sequence under 1 other name. The record is from RNAcentral.